UUUUGCGUCCGCGAGUUCCCCAUUUCUCUCGUGCAACUGCUUCCCACGCCCACGCCCCACGAUUUUAUCUGCUGCGGUUCCACACGAGUGUCUUUCUCAUCACUUUUCCGAAUUAAUCAGAUCCUCUCUUGCGCGUUUUGGUGUUUUCACCUUGGCUGGUAUUUUCUGGACUGGUGUUUUCGGAUUUUUUUUCCGUGGGUCUCAACUUUCUGGUUCUCCGAAGUGUCGUUCGGUCUCUUGAACAAGGCCACUUUCUCUUUCACUGGGGAUUUAUGUGAACAUUUUUUGGACGUGAAUUUGCAGUGACCCAUUCGAAGUGGUUUUUUGGAGUUUUGGAAAUUUUUCCUCUUGGGGUGGUGUUACUAUUAGAGUUCCGGCUCAAGGUGUUGAUAAUACGAAG
Molecule: long non-coding RNA, 400 nt
Organism: Juglans regia (Persian walnut)
Lineage: Eukaryota; Viridiplantae; Streptophyta; Magnoliopsida; Fagales; Juglandaceae
Exons: 4
Source: RefSeq, a predicted model, not a curated record